GUAGGGAAUCUUCCACAAUGGACGAAAGUCUGAUGGAGCAACGCCGCGUGAACGAUGAAGGCUUUCGGGUCGUAAAGUUCUGUUGUAAGGGAAGAACAAGUGCCGCAGGCAAUGGCGGCACCUUGACGGUACCUUGCGAGAAAGCCACGGCUAACUACGUGCCAGCAGCCGCGGUAAUACGUAGGUGGCAAGCGUUGUCCGGAAUUAUUGGGCGUAAAGCGCGCGCAGGCGGCCUCUUAAGUCUGAUGUGAAAGCCCCCGGCUCAACCGGGGAGGGCCAUUGGAAACUGGGAGGCUUGAGUAUAGGAGAGAAGAGUGGAAUUCCACGUGUAGCGGUGAAAUGCGUAGAGAUGUGGAGGAACUCCAGUGGCGAAGGCGACUCUUUGGCCUAUAACUGACGCUGAGGCGCGAAAGCGUGGGGAGCAAACAGGAUUAGAAACCCCGGUAGUCC
RNAcentral lists this ribosomal RNA (450 nucleotides) under uncultured bacterium. RNAcentral's name for it is "partial 16S ribosomal RNA". It matches the Rfam family "Bacterial small subunit ribosomal RNA", at positions 354 to 796 of the family's 1533-position model. The record is from RNAcentral.